Molecule: non-coding RNA, 327 nt
Organism: Pelobates cultripes (western spadefoot toad)
Lineage: Eukaryota; Metazoa; Chordata; Amphibia; Anura; Pelobatidae
Source: the annotation of a GenBank genome assembly
CUUACAUUUUCCCAAGGUUAAUAAAAUGAUUAUUGAUAAACUGAAUAAUAAUAAAAACAAUGUGAACAUAGAGCUUUAGGCACCCUUCCUGUUUAAAUCAUUUUCUAUUAUUAUCUCAAAAAAGCUGAACAAAUUAAAUUAAUUGAAAAACAUGCAAGUAAUAUAAGAUGCUUAUUGUAUUACUGAAGUUCAAAUAACUCUCGCUAGAUUCCUAGAUCAGAUUCUGUUCAUCAAGAAAAAUAAUUGAAGAAAUGACUGAUUGCAUUAUAUAUUCAAAACCUGCUAUUAACAAUUAUAUGCAGCCUUCCUCAGUGCCAGAUCCGUUAU